UACGAUAGGUAAGGACUCCUGCCCUGUUGUA
Molecule: non-coding RNA, 31 nt
Filed under: Rattus norvegicus (Norway rat)
Lineage: Eukaryota; Metazoa; Chordata; Mammalia; Rodentia; Muridae
Source: RNAcentral